AGGAGGCAGCAGUGGGGAAUAUUGGUCAAUGGACGCAAGUCUGAACCAGCCAUGCCGCGUGAAGGAUGAAGGUCCUCUGGAUUGUAAACUUCUUUUCUCUGGGGCGAAAAAAGGGAAUUCUUUCCCACUUGACAGUACUAGAGGAAUAAGCACCGGCUAACUCCGUGCCAGCAGCCGCGGUAAUACGGAGGGUGCAAGCGUUAUCCGGAUUCACUGGGUUUAAAGGGUGCGUAGGCGGGCAGGUAAGUCCGUGGUGAAAUCCUAUAGCUUAACUAUAGAACUGCCAUGGAUACUAUUUGUCUUGAAUAUCGUAGAGGUAAGCGGAAUAUGUCAUGUAGCGGUGAAAUGCUUAGAUAUGACAUAGAACACCUAUUGCGAAGGCAGCUUACUAUGCGAUUAUUGACGCUGAGGCACGAAAGCGUGGGUAGCAAACAGGAUUAGAUACCCGCGUAC
This 453-nucleotide ribosomal RNA is filed under the name uncultured bacterium. RNAcentral's name for it is "bacterial SSU rRNA". It matches the Rfam family "Bacterial small subunit ribosomal RNA", at positions 343 to 793 of the family's 1533-position model. The record is from RNAcentral.